AGUCGAACGCUUUGUGGUUCAACUGAUUUGAAGAGCUUGCUCAGAUAUGACGAUGGACAUUGCAAAGAGUGGCGAACGGGUGAGUAACACGUGGGAAACCUACCUCUUAGCAGGGGAUAACAUUUGGAAACAGAUGCUAAUACCGUAUAACAAUGACAACCGCAUGGUUGUUAUUUAAAAGAUGGUUCUGCUAUCACUAAGAGAUGGUCCCGCGGUGCAUUAGCUAGUUGGUAAGGUAAUGGCUUACCAAGGCGAUGAUGCAUAGCCGAGUUGAGAGACUGAUCGGCCACAAUGGGACUGAGACACGGCCCAUACUCCUACGGGAGGCAGCAGUAGGGAAUCUUCCACAAUGGGCGAAAGCCUGAUGGAGCAACGCCGCGUGUGUGAUGAAGGGUUUCGGCUCGUAAAACACUGUUGUAAGAGAAGAAUGACAUUGAGAGUAACUGUUCAAUGUGUGACGGUAUCUUACCAGAAAGGAACGGCUAAAUACGUGCCAGCAGCCGCGGUAAUACGUAUGUUCCAAGCGUUAUCCGGAUUUAUUGGGCGUAAAGCGAGCGCAGACGGUUAUUUAAGUCUGAAGUGAAAGCCCUCAGCUCAACUGAGGAAUUGCUUUGGAAACUGGAUGACUUGAGUGCAGUAGAGGAAAGUGGAACUCCAUGUGUAGCGGUGAAAUGCGUAGAUAUAUGGAAGAACACCAGUGGCGAAAGCGGCUUUCUGGACUGUAACUGACGUUGAGGCUCGAAAGUGUGGGUAGCAAACAGGAUUAGAUACCCUGGUAGUCCACACCG
Molecule: ribosomal RNA, 788 nt
Filed under: Weissella confusa
Lineage: Bacteria; Bacillati; Bacillota; Bacilli; Lactobacillales; Lactobacillaceae
Description: bacterial SSU rRNA
Rfam family: Bacterial small subunit ribosomal RNA
Source: RNAcentral